Molecule: ribosomal RNA, 460 nt
Filed under: uncultured bacterium
Lineage: Bacteria
Description: partial 16S ribosomal RNA
Rfam family: Bacterial small subunit ribosomal RNA
Source: RNAcentral
CCUACGGGGGGCAGCAGUGAGGAAUAUUGGUCAAUGGGCGGGAGCCUGAACCAGCCAAGUCGCGUGAGGGAAGACGGUCCUAUGGAUUGUAAACCUCUUUAGGCGGGGAGCAAUGCCGGGCACGCGUGCCCGGAGGGAGAGUACCCGCAGAAUAAGCAUCGGCUAACUCCGUGCCAGCAGCCGCGGUAAUACGGAGGAUGCGAGCGUUAUCCGGAUUUAUUGGGUUUAAAGGGUGCGUAGGCGGAUUUUUAAGUCAGCGGUAAAAUGUCCGGGCUCAACCCGGGCCGGCCGUUGAAACUGGGGAGCUUGAGUGGGCGAGAAGUAUGCGGAAUGCGUGGUGUAGAGGUGAAAUGCAUAGAUAUCACGCAGAACUCCGAUUGCGAAGGCAGCAUACCGGCGCCCGACUGACGCUGAGGCACGAAAGCGUGGGGAUCGAACAGGAUUAGAUACCCGGGUAGUC